This is a long non-coding RNA of Rhododendron vialii, 997 nucleotides long. RefSeq lists it as uncharacterized. The record is from RefSeq and is a predicted model, not a curated record. Lineage: Eukaryota; Viridiplantae; Streptophyta; Magnoliopsida; Ericales; Ericaceae. The transcript has 3 exons.
AAGAACCACCCACUACUUCCUUUCUUCCCAAAGAAGAGAAAUCCCCAAAAUCGAUCCCCUCUCUCUUUUUUCAACGCAAUUCCAUAGUCCACACCACCACCAACGCAGCCCCGCCACUGAAGUCAUCCCUUCCUCUCUUCUCGACUCGUUUUGCCCUAAUUUCUUCCCCAAAAUUACCAAACCCUCUGAUUUCAUGCGCGUUUCGUUCGGAUUCGACCAAAAACAGGUUCAACUUGCCUCAUGUGUACGAUUUCGAGGUAACUCUCUCUCACUCGUAUCUGCUGGAGUCUGUUCUAUUUUGGGAGAUUUCGGUCACCUAUUCUUCAAUUUGCUGUAAAAUCAGGCUAGUCACACUUCCAAACGAAACCCUAGAUCUCGAUUAUCAUGGAGGUGCCUUACGAGUUACGAGGCAAACUGUUAUAUAUGUUUUCCCCUGUUUUUUCCGGUCGCAAUUUGAAUUAGCAAGGUGUCGUUGGAAAAGUAAUGGUGAUUAUUUUGUGGUGACGCCAUGGUUGUAAACUUGUAAGCUUACUUAAACUGUAGAAUUAUAUGCUUCAUGCAUUCAAAGUUCUUUUAGUACUUGUUUUCGGAGAGGGUACGUGGUCACUAGAACUUGUCAAAUAUGGUUGUGCAACUAUACGAGGGACUCAAUUUCUCGUGUUACUACAGUGGCCGAAAAAUAAGAAAUAUAGUCACGUCGUCUUUUGCUAUUAACGUCUUAAAGAACUGAUCGUGAUGAGAUGAAGGUUACUCCUACGUUCUUUGGCGAUUAGUAAUUAUGCUUCUAUGUUUGUUGUAGAGAGCUGGUGAUGUUCUAUUCGUCCAAUGUAUCUGCAACCAAUUACUGAUUCAUGGGGAAACUAUACGUGUAGACCUUGCCAGGAAAGAAGGGAUGAUGAUGCAAGUAUAAUUGGUAUUGUUGUCGAGGCCUUUACACUGUUUACUAGAUUUAUUCUGGUAUGGUUCUCUCCAUAGUGAACUUCAUGUUUCUGAUUUU